UUUGAAAAGGCAAAAAUAUGUAAAAUAUUAGAAAUUCAUAAAUGCGUUGCUAGAAAUGCAAUAAGCUUUGAACGCGCACACACAGUUGUAUGUAUACAAGCAGCAAGCAGUCAGUCAACGAGGCACUCAGGCGGUCUGCGAGGCACUCAAGUAUGCACAAAGAUGGUGGCGGAAAACUAUGCUCAUGCAGUAUCAAAUGAAUUCCAUAUGAAAAAUUGUAAAGCUUUUUGUUAGAUGAUUGCGCUCAGUGGAAUACAUACGUACAUAUAAAUAUUUAGAGAAAACAGUAUUUGUGCUGAAAACUAUUCACGCAUGAGCAUUUUAAAUUGUUAUUGGAAAAGGGCUUAGACCGAUUUGAUCUGGUUAAACAAUGCUUCUAAAAAUAUGGAAUAUACUAAAAUGCUGCGGUAAA
Ceratitis capitata (Mediterranean fruit fly) is the source of this 412-nucleotide long non-coding RNA. RefSeq lists it as uncharacterized. The transcript is spliced from 3 exons. NCBI's taxonomy places the organism in Eukaryota, Metazoa, Arthropoda, Insecta, Diptera, Tephritidae. The record is from RefSeq and is a predicted model, not a curated record.